Molecule: ribosomal RNA, 495 nt
Filed under: uncultured bacterium
Lineage: Bacteria
Description: partial 16S ribosomal RNA
Rfam family: Bacterial small subunit ribosomal RNA
Source: RNAcentral
GACGAACGCUGGCGGCGUGCCUAAUACAUGCAAGUAGAACGCUGAAGGAGGAGCUUGCUUCUCUGGAUGAGUUGCGAACGGGUGAGUAACGCGUAGGUAACCUGCCUGGUAGCGGGGGAUAACUAUUGGAAACGAUAGCUAAUACCGCAUAAUAGUAGAUGUUGCAUGACAUUUGCUUAAAAGGUGCAAUUGCAUCACUACCAGAUGGACCUGCGUUGUAUUAGCUAGUUGGUGAGGUAACGGCUCACCAAGGCAACGAUACAUAGCCGACCUGAGAGGGUGAUCGGCCACACUGGGACUGAGACACGGCCCAGACUCCUACGGGAGGCAGCAGUAGGGAAUCUUCGGCAAUGGACGGAAGUCUGACCGAGCAACGCCGCGUGAGUGAAGAAGGUUUUCAGAUCGUAAAGCUCUGUUGUAAGAGAAGAACGAGUGUGAGAGUGGAAAGUUCACACUGUGACGGUAUCUUACCAGAAAGGGACGGCUAACUACGUG